This is a long non-coding RNA of Sipha flava (yellow sugarcane aphid), 183 nucleotides long. RefSeq lists it as uncharacterized. The record is from RefSeq and is a predicted model, not a curated record. The transcript is spliced from 2 exons. Lineage: Eukaryota; Metazoa; Arthropoda; Insecta; Hemiptera; Aphididae.
CCAAAGUACCCGUUAGCGCCGUACUCGUCCACCGCCACCGCCACCGUUGUGGUUUUGCUGGACCUAUUUUCCCGAUCGACAAAAGACGAAUAAAAAUUGUGAAAGAAAAGGAGUUCAAUUAAUUUUGGAAGAUAAUUUCAUUUUCAAAUAAAUAAAAAAUUGAUUUUUUUUUUUUUUUUUUUU